AGUUGUUCCGCCAGGAGCAUAGCUGGGUAGCUAAGUAUGGAAUUGAUAAGUACUGAAAGCAUCUAAGUACGAAACAAGCCUCAAGAUAAGAUUUCUAAAAGUACGUAAAGAAAAUACGUUAGAUAGGUCCAAGGUGUAAGUGCAGUAAUGCAUUAAGCUAAUGGAUACUAAACUUUAAAUCU
Molecule: ribosomal RNA, 182 nt
Filed under: Anaerococcus octavius
Lineage: Bacteria; Bacillati; Bacillota; Tissierellia; Tissierellales; Peptoniphilaceae
Description: partial 23S ribosomal RNA
Rfam family: Bacterial large subunit ribosomal RNA
Source: RNAcentral